UUGUGUGUACCGAAGAAGAAAGGGGGCUUGGGAUUUAGAGACCUUCACAGUUUUAACCUUGCUAUGUUAGCAAAAUAGUGUUGCCAACUAAUUCAGAACCCGGACUCUCUAUGUGCACGUGUUUUGAGCUCAAAAUAUUAUCCCGACGGAAACAUCUUGCAAGCUGGACCAAAGAACGGGUCAUCAUUUACUUGGCAGACCAUAGUUGCAGGUAUUCAAACUUUUCAGAGGGGGUGCAUUUGGCGUGUAGGUACAGGAGCACAGAUUGAUAUAUGGCGGGAUUCCUGGAUCCCUUCGAGUCCUUCAAGGAAGGUAAUCACCCCUAGAGACGCAACGAUGCUCAGAUUUGUGGAAGAGCUUAUUGAUCCACACAUUGGACGGUGGGACGAAGUGCUAAUCAGAGAUGUAUUCUCUCUUGUUGAUGCUCAUAGGAUCCUUCAAAUACCUUUGAAUGUGCAGAUUAUGGAGGAUUUUAUUGCUUGGAACUAG
RNAcentral lists this ribosomal RNA (489 nucleotides) under Triticum aestivum (bread wheat). Its description in RNAcentral is "partial small subunit ribosomal RNA". The record is from RNAcentral. Lineage: Eukaryota; Viridiplantae; Streptophyta; Magnoliopsida; Poales; Poaceae.